UUUUAAAUGUGCAGCUUUAUCUGCUGAGAGAAAGCCAAACGGAAGAGCGUGGAGCUGUGGCUGUGUUCACCUGGGAACACGGGGUUCAGGAUGCGCCUGCUUUCUUGUUAGUACUUUAUUUUCUAAAUAGUCUCCUGUGAACAUGUUCUAUUCAAUAACCAUUGCAAAAUGGUAUUUUUGAAGCAAGUUGUCAGGUUUGAUGGCAUCUCUGACAGAUGGCAUGCCAGCCGGCACAUGUCCACUGCGCAGAGGUCUCGGCAUGCCCCAUGUCACCCACUCCACUCUGUGACAGUUGGGAUGAUUAGAAAAUGUCCCUAUGAUUGAAUCCAAAUCUGUCACCCUGUUAAUUCUGUCCACUGAACAAAAGUGCAUCUCCUCUGCCAUAUGGUGAGGCCUCAACCUCAUGAUGACAGCUGUCCUGUGAGCGCCCGAGUUUCCCCACUUAGCUGUUCUUAGCUUCUUGACCCAUCCCCAGCACGGACCACUUUUACUUGGCUCUCAUGUCAGAACUGUGUGUUAGGUAAGUAAAAAUGUAAUGAUUGGAGUUAGGUCUGACUUUCUUGAUUAUUGGUGGAGGAAGGUGUGGAAAUCUAUGUUUUGAAGUCCAUUGUGGUCACUUCUCUAUGACCUAACUUGGUUUCCAUAACAACAUUUUCUCAGGCCACAUCACAAGGUAAUCAGUUUAUCCCUCCUGUCCUAUUAGCACCUUACCGCUGUGUCAGUGGAAUGAAGCCAGUCCGUCAAGAUGAAGAACCAAUUGGGGAACAGGAUCUCAGCAUCAGAACUACCAUUACAAGGGAACUGGCAAUGAGAGACAAAUGAUAUACAUGGAAUGAUGUCAGUUUAAACCAGGUGCCGAAGCAAAGAUUGGAAAAUGAAGGUUUCCUGAAAUGUCUUGGGGUGUAAAUCAGGCAUUGGUGGAAGCAGUGAUCUUUCAGAGAAGAGUGGACAUUGUCUUAAGUGCCUCACAAGGGAGAGAGACCACCGCAUCCUCUCCCAGGGAUCUUAAUCACAGCUGAGGUAACCUAUCCUGACCUGUCUCUGUGAUAACACUGACUCUAAAGGACUCCGACUCCUAGGGUAGGAGAAAAGACAGCUGCUCUCAGGAAGACAGAUUUACUCGAACUAAGCAUUGAGUCACCUUCCAACCAGGUGGCAAAGUGUCACGGGGACACAGAGACUGGAGGAGAUGUGAGCUCAGACACUACUGUUUUCAUUCACUAGCCUUGUGACUUAGGGCUGAUCUUAAGAUGAAUAAGCUCUAGCCACACAUUGUAUAAUGACAGCAAUGGCUCCCCUGGAUGUGGUGACACACCCUGACAAUCUCAGCACUGGUGAGGUAGAAGCAAG
Long non-coding RNA from Mus musculus (house mouse), 1350 nucleotides. RefSeq annotates it as predicted gene, 29976. The record is from RefSeq and is a predicted model, not a curated record. The transcript is spliced from 3 exons. NCBI's taxonomy places the organism in Eukaryota, Metazoa, Chordata, Mammalia, Rodentia, Muridae.